UCAUGCUCGAGCUUGCCAGAGUCCC
RNAcentral lists this non-coding RNA (25 nucleotides) under Mus musculus (house mouse). Lineage: Eukaryota; Metazoa; Chordata; Mammalia; Rodentia; Muridae. The record is from RNAcentral.